Equus caballus (horse) is the source of this 4052-nucleotide long non-coding RNA. The record is from Ensembl. Lineage: Eukaryota; Metazoa; Chordata; Mammalia; Perissodactyla; Equidae.
CGCCCCCUUCGCCGGCACAGGAACCCCUACAGGCUCCAGAGGCCCUGAGCGCGCCCCCUACGAGGCUUGUUCUCUGGCGUCUCUGAUUGGCCAGCUCCCUUCGCGCAGACUAGCGUCCUUUCGGCUGCUGGGUAGCUCCUCUUCCCUCGCUGGGCGAGGCUCUAAAGCCCAUGUGCAGCACAUUGAGGAUCUUCCGAUCGGUCUUCGCUGAUGCUUUUCUCGUUUCCCUCUAAGGGCGAGAUCACUGGGAAAGGAGCUGAUGCUGGUGGAAUCUUCAGGUGAUGAAGAUGGAGACUCCAGGUCUGAGUCGGCUGGAAAUAAAAAGAGACUCCCUGCAUUAGAGACCAUCCACAGGGCAUCCUUGGAAGCUGUGACCUGAAGGUGGACAAGCCACAGGAUGGAAGGAGCUGCAUCUCUAAGUCACCAGUGAAGAACAGUCACCCUCAAUGGGUUUGGAGAGAAGUCUUCUCUGAUAUCCACUUUUAAGUCCCGAUUAUAAUCCACUCGUUUCAUUCUCGCAGCACUCAGUGUGGUUUAGGGGAAAUUCUAGAUUCUCAUAUCUUGGUCAUGGAUGAUAAGGAAAGGGCCUUUCCAUAUAUGUGAGGCAAAGCAGAGCAGGGUGAGGGGGUAAGGCUCCUCAGGGUAAGGAAGGCCCUGCAGAAGAAUGGAGUGGUGUUGCGGAGGCAGGUAGCCGAGGGAGGGGAGCAGUGCCAUCAGGAUGGGUCCUCAGGGUCUGUCAGCAUCCACCAGAAUCUGGCAGAGCUAUUUAGAGAAACUGAUAGAAAGCUGUACCUACUGCAGUCACAAAGGAUCAGGCUCAGAAUCACGGAUAAACUGAGGAUUAAUGUCUCCAUUUAUUGAUAAGGAAAUUAAGUUUUAUGGAGAUUAGAAUGUUUGUACGUAAUACAGUGCUUAGUUCAUAGUAGAUGCACAAUAAAUAUUUGUUGAAUGAAGGGCCUAAGACUUUUAAUGCUUAUGCCUUCUAUAAGGGAUUGAGAAUUUACCCAUUCCGUGGUAUAUAGAGGGGUAUGGUACUGGUGCCCAGGACAGACACAUUGUGGUUGGGUGCAAUGUUUUAAAAAGUUUGAAUGUUAGUGUGCUUUCUGGUAUUCCCUAGGCCCUACCACUCCCUGUUGCCUUAUCACUCACCCAGUUCACACGAUGAUGUCAUCCGUCUGUCCCCCUGAGCUUCAGUUGUGUGGAAUUCCUUCCUACACUCUCCUGUUCACAAGUCACCUUUUAAAUAGAGCUUAUCCCUAACUCUGUUGUUUUGCCCUCUCCCUUCUCCUUCCUGCCAUUGCCUUCCCAUCCUCUCCCUCCUAUUAUCUAUCCACAUAUGUCCUCUCUAUUUUUUCUCAAGUUUUUUAACCUUGUCAGUGUCGCAAUCCAAUGUACACAUCAGGAUAGAUGCGGAGAGGGCUGAUGGCCACUCUGAGUUUAUUAUAACCAGCGUUUCAAUAUAUACAUAGCUUACAGCUGUUAAACAUACACAGGUGUUCUGGAUGAAGUAAUUAGUGAAUGCCAAGAAUUCUUCGUGAUUUCUCAAGGAGCCCUCCCUUGGCCUCUGUUUUGAUAUUAUCAUGUUAUUGCUGUGCUCCUAUACUUUUAUCUCGGAGCAGGCAAGGCCUCUUAGGCAAUGGUCCCUCCUGCUCCCGAUAUCGAUAUCGUUUCUCCAUCUGUGCCCCUGGGCGGCCGCCGCCUGGCUUAGGUUGCCCCCCCAGGGGUCUUACCAGUCAUUGGCUAACCGGCCUUCUCACCUCCGGGUCACAGUUUGUUGGCAAGCUUUUUCCAGUGAUUAUUAACCCUUCCUAUGUCAGGGGCGGCUACAAACCUUAUAAGCAUAAAUUCUUAGGCAGCUAUGCCUAAUAUGAUGAACUAGGAAACCUAAGCCAAGAACAGAGUUGUAUUCAGAUAUACCUUCUACAAGUUUCUAUUAUACAUAUUUAAAGAUACAUAAAUAUUAUUGUAUUGUGUAGUUAUUAGGCAGUUAGCAGUGCUUAUAAAUUAUAUUUAAUGUAACCUUUAUAAACAUUCCCAUUUUAUAGUUAUUCAGUUUUUACUAGCUGCUAACUACCUGGGCAUCUUGCAUGAGUCAUUUUAUUGUAUUGUUUUCUUAUCUACUGAACAAGGGGUUUAGAAGGCAUUGUCUUUAAGGAAAUUUACAGGUACAUAUGUAAGGCCCUGUGACUGUGUGAUUACUACCUGGACUGAUAAAACCUAAAGCAAGGGAAGUGGGGAGAAUGGUGUAGUGCAGAGGGGAAGCUGCCUGUUGCUAACUGCACAAAGUUCUCCUAGAAACCUCCUCUGUAAAAGGAGCUUAAGAACCUACAUCCCCAGGAGACCUCUGGGACCAGUUUUUCUGGAUCCCCUGAGACCAGAUAAUUGGAUAAAGCUGUACAUUCUCAUCCUGAUCCUUUCUGGUCACAGUCCAAAAUGUCCCUUUGUGGUCACAGUCCUCUCCACAGUCUGCUCAGUGCCACCUCCUCUGGCACCCCAGGUGCUGAGGAUCAUCCCCUUUGCCGUACACGCGUCCAUGUUACCUGUGGGGACUGUGUGGUGUGGGAAGGAAACUCCCUCCGCCUGCACCUCCUGUGUGCCCCAGGCCUUCAUGGAAUCCCAGGUCUCUCCAGAGAGUUGCUUUUUUGGGUGGUCUCUCCUGGAAUUCCUGCUGGGUUUUUAUAGUCAUUCCUCUCCCCAUUCCCCACAGACCUCCUCCCCCUCUUCCUUUCUGUUUUGCCACCAUACCAGAUGUUACUUUUACCACAGGGCCUUUUCCCUGUUUACAGAGAAAACCAAAGCCAUCAGGAGGAACUCCACCAACAUGGAAUCCAACGUAUUGAUUGUUACGUCUUGCGGAAAUAUGGGAGACAGGAAAUCACAUUCAACAUAUGAUCUGACACCAUCCCUGCUCUCCAUAUCAGCUGCUCUUUCAGUGUUCCCAUUCUUCAUGAAGGAAUGUUCCGAUCACCUGCUUGCUCCAGUUAAAACCAUGGUAUUAUCCUUGACUGUGCCACCCUUCUCAUCCUCACAUCUAAGCUGUUGAUUCUACCUCCUAAUGAUCUCUUAAACCCAUCUAUUUCUAACUUCACUGCUACCCUCCUGCUCUAAUCAUAUAUCAUCUUUCCUGGCAUCACUGUGACUUUUUCUUGCCUCCAGUUCUGCCUCACUCAACCCAUUCACUCCACAGCUAAAUUGUGGAUGUGUGCUUCUGAACUAUCAAUGAAUGUAGCCAAAGAAACGUGUAAUAUAGAUCAAUGAUCCCAACACUAAGAAAACAAUGUUGAUCAAUAAAUAAUUGGUGAAUAAUGAAUGACAACAUAUAGCAAAGUAUUCAACAGGUUUUAUAAGCUGUGGGUUCAGUAAAUGUUUAUGAAACUUGUUCAGGGCCUUGAAAGAUGUGCAGUUCUUUGGAUUUUAAAGAAAAGGAGAGAAGAGAUUUCAGAUGAGAACAAAAAUACGUGACAUCAAACAAUAUUUGUGAUUGUUUUUUGGGGUGGGGGGCGUGUUACGGUGUGAAAGCUCCCAGCCUGGAUGGUUUUCAGAUUCAAGUGCUGAGGCCAGCGUGCAGCUGGACACCCAAGUCAUGGUCUUGGUCUCCAAUUCCAGUGAAGGCCUCAGGCUUGAAAGCUGCCAAGGGGCAGCUGUGCUCCUGGUGCCAGGCGUUGGGAAUAGGAGAAAGAACACUCCUUGGAAGUCUCACUGCCGUAAGAGGUGCCCUUCAGGUAUCUAAAGUCCUGUGUUAAGGAGGUCUUUGUGUUCUGGGGAAGGAGGCCCUUCUUGAUUGAUAGAACAAAGCUUUUAGGCAAGGAGCUGCACCACAUCUGGAUGUGAACCCAGGAGGCCUCCCUGAGAGCAGGCUAAAGCUCUCAAGGACAUUCAGGGAGACUUCCACCCUGUUCUGUGUGUACCUUCCUCUCCACGAGGAUGUGCUAAAGUGAAGAUACAAUUUCCCACGUGUUAAAGUAAGAUCAUAGACUAACUGCUUCCCAUGUUCUCCUUAGUCUCAAGCUCUUAACACUCUAGAUGGUGGUUAUUUCCUUCUCUCAGGGAAC